CCCACAUUUUCAUGGCAGUCGAACGGGUAACGCGGGGAGAAGCUUGCUUCUCUCCGGCGACGAGUGGCGAACGGGUGAGUAAUACAUCGGAACGUGUCCGCUCGUGGGGGACAACCAGCCGAAAGGUUGGCUAAUACCGCAUGAGUUCUACGGAAGAAAGAGGGGGACCCGCAAGGGCCUCUCGCGAGCGGAGCGGCCGAUGACUGAUUAGCCGGUUGGUGAGGUAACGGCUCACCAAAGCAACGAUCAGUAGCUGGUCUGAGAGGACGACCAGCCACACUGGGACUGAGACACGGCCCAGACUCCUACGGGAGGCAGCAGUGGGGAAUUUUGGACAAUGGGCGCAAGCCUGAUCCAGCUGUUCCGCGUGUGGGAUGAAGGCCCUCGGGUUGUAAACCACUUUUGUAGAGAACGAAAAGACACCUUCGAAUAAAGGGUGUUGCUGACGGUACUCUAAGAAUAAGCACCGGCUAACUACGUGCCAGCAGCCGCGGUAAUACGUAGGGUGCGAGCGUUAAUCGGAAUUACUGGGCGUAAAGGGUGCGCAGGCGGUUGAGUAAGACAGAUGUGAAAUCCCCGAGCUUAACUCGGGAAUGGCAUAUGUGACUGCUCGACUAGAGUGUGUCAGAGGGAGGUGGAAUUCCACGUGUANCAGUGAAAUGCGUAGAUAUGUGGAAGAACACCGAUGGCGAAGGCAGCCUCCUGGGACAUAACUGACGCUCAAGCACGAAAGCGUGGGGAGCAAACAGG
This 750-nucleotide ribosomal RNA is filed under the name uncultured bacterium. RNAcentral's name for it is "bacterial SSU rRNA". It matches the Rfam family "Bacterial small subunit ribosomal RNA", at positions 47 to 776 of the family's 1533-position model. The record is from RNAcentral.